CACUCUUUAUAAUGAAAUCCCAACCACCCUUCAAGCACCAUCAAUGAUCAUAGACCAUCAGCACCUUCUCUCUCCCCUUUUCCUCUUGAUUACAGACGUCUAAGUUCACAUGACUGUCAGAAGUCAAGGUCAAAGAUGUCACUCGAGUAGGCUUAGUAGAUUCACUUAGUGAAGUUUAAAGGUUUAAAAAGAAUGAUGUACGUAAUCC
This 208-nucleotide long non-coding RNA is filed under the name Elaeis guineensis (African oil palm). RNAcentral describes it as "long non-coding RNA (EGUI_LNC009431)". The record is from RNAcentral. Lineage: Eukaryota; Viridiplantae; Streptophyta; Magnoliopsida; Arecales; Arecaceae.